CCUACGGGGCGCACCAGUGGGGGAUAUUGCACAAUGGGCGCAAGCCUGAUGCAGCCAUGCCGCGUGUGUGAAGAAGGCCUUCGGGUUGUAAAGCACUUUCAACGGGGAGGAAGGCGGUGAGGUUAAUAACCUCAUCGAUUGACGUUACCCGCAGAAGAAGCACCGGCUAACUCCGUACCAGCAGCCGCGGUAAUACGGAGGGUGCAAGCGUUGAUCGGAAUUACUGGGCGUAAAGCGCACGCAGGCGGUCUGUCAAGUCGGAUGUGAAAUCCCCGGGCUCAACCUGGAAACUGCAUUCGAAACUGGCAGGCUAGAGUCUUGUAGAGGGGGGUAGAAUUCCAGGUGUAGCGGUGAAAUGCGUAGAGAUCUGGAGGAAUACCGGUGGCGAAGGCGGCCCCCUGGACAAAGACUGACGCUCAGGUGCGAAAGCGUGGGGAGCAAACAGGAUUAGAUACCCCAGUAGUC
This 465-nucleotide ribosomal RNA is filed under the name uncultured bacterium. RNAcentral describes it as "bacterial SSU rRNA". It matches the Rfam family "Bacterial small subunit ribosomal RNA", at positions 338 to 795 of the family's 1533-position model. The record is from RNAcentral.